ACAGAGGGUGCAAGCGUUGUUCGGAAUUAUUGGGCGUAAAGCGCGUGUAGGCGGCCAGGCAAGUUGGGUGUGAAAGCCCUCGGCUUGACCGAGGAAGUGCGCCCAAAACUACUUGGCUGGAGUCCCGGAGAGGAUGGCGGAAUUUCCGGUGUAGAGGUGAAAUUCGUAGAUAUUCGGAGGAACACCAGUGGCGAAGGCGGCUCUCUGGUCCGAUACUGACGCUGAGACGCGAAAGCGUGGGGAGCAAACA
RNAcentral lists this ribosomal RNA (250 nucleotides) under uncultured bacterium. RNAcentral's name for it is "partial 16S ribosomal RNA". It matches the Rfam family "Bacterial small subunit ribosomal RNA", at positions 525 to 774 of the family's 1533-position model. The record is from RNAcentral.